This 468-nucleotide ribosomal RNA is filed under the name uncultured bacterium. RNAcentral describes it as "partial 16S ribosomal RNA". It matches the Rfam family "Bacterial small subunit ribosomal RNA", at positions 28 to 523 of the family's 1533-position model. The record is from RNAcentral.
GAUGAACGCUGGCGGCGUGCCUAACACAUGCAAGUCGAGCGAUUCUCUUCGGAGAAGAGCGGCGGACGGGUGAGUAACGCGUGGGUAACCUGCCCUGUACACACGGAUAACAUACCGAAAGGUAUGCUAAUACGAGAUAAUAUACUUUUAUCGCAUGGUAGAAGUAUCAAAGCUUUUGCGGUACAGGAUGGACCCGCGUCUGAUUAGCUAGUUGGUAAGGUAACGGCUUAUCAAGGCGACGAUCAGUAGCCGACCUGAGAGGGUGAUCGGCCACAUUGGAACUGAGACACGGUCCAAACUCCUACUGGAGGCAGCAGUGGGGAAUAUUGCACAAUGGGCGAAAGCCUGAUGCAGCAACGCCGCGUGGGCGAUGAAGGCCUUCGGGUCGUAAAGCUCUGUCCUCAAGGAAGAUAAUGACGGUACUUGAGGAGGAAGCCCCGGCUAACUACGUGCCAGCCGCCGCGGUAA